AGCCGGUUGUCCACAUGCCGGUCUCCUCUGAGGCACACCCUCAUUGCCGGCAGUGCGGACGGGUCUCCCCUCCAAGCCAAGGCAGACAAAGCGAACCGAGGUCGGGCUGACCAAGGUUCAUCGCCGCGAGACGGCUUUCGAUGG
Regulatory RNA element from Mesorhizobium australicum, 144 nucleotides. It matches the Rfam family "speF leader". Rfam says of the family: This family is a putative regulatory RNA structure that is found upstream of the speF gene encoding ornithine decarboxylase in Agrobacterium tumefaciens and other alpha-proteobacteria. Lineage: Bacteria; Pseudomonadati; Pseudomonadota; Alphaproteobacteria; Hyphomicrobiales; Phyllobacteriaceae. The record is from Rfam.